Molecule: long non-coding RNA, 355 nt
Organism: Mytilus trossulus (common blue mussel)
Lineage: Eukaryota; Metazoa; Mollusca; Bivalvia; Mytilida; Mytilidae
Exons: 3
Source: RefSeq, a predicted model, not a curated record
AGAUAUUGAAGACGAUAUUAAACCAAUCACACAUGAUGAAGAUGAUUGUACUUGCAUUGGAGAUUACGUUGACUUUUGGUUUGACAGUGUUCAUUGUUUUUGUAAAGAUCAUUCAGCAGAAAAAUUGAGUCCACCUGUUAUAAUGGUUUGUACUGGUACUGACAAGUUUGAAAAGGUUAAAGAUAGGCAAACAAAAUAUGAAGACAAAUUUCUUGACACUGUUGGCAAACAUACAAAAUUCAAUCACAGAAGAGGCAUCUACUUUCUUUCUAAUACACACUUUAAAAAAGAAGAUAUUGACGAAAUCAAUAGAUUAAGAAAACACAUUUCCAACAUUGCAUUUGAGAUGAAUUAC